UCUGAUGUCUGCCCUAUCAUCUUUCAAUGAUACUUUCUGUGCCUACCAUGCUGACCACAGGUAACGGGGAAUCAGGGUUCGAUUCCGGAGAGGGAGCCUGAGAAACGGCUACCACAUCCAACGAAGGCAGCAGGCAUGCAAAUUCCCCACUCCCACCGCGGGGAGGUAGUGACGAAAAAUAACAAUACAGGACUCUUUCGAGGCCCUGUAAUUGGAAUGAGUACACUUUAAAUCCUUUAACAAGGAUCUAUUGGAGGGC
This 259-nucleotide long non-coding RNA is filed under the name Pelobates cultripes (western spadefoot toad). It matches the Rfam family "Eukaryotic small subunit ribosomal RNA", at positions 299 to 556 of the family's 1831-position model. Lineage: Eukaryota; Metazoa; Chordata; Amphibia; Anura; Pelobatidae. The record is from RNAcentral.